UCCACUCACACCUGUGCACCCUCUGUAGUUCUAUGGCCUGGGUGGGCUCUGUCCCCCUGCUGUGGUUCUGCGUCUUUACACACACACUACAACAAAGUCUCAUGGAAUGUAUGUCGCGUUUAACGCAAUGAAAUACAACUUUCAGCAACGGAUCUCUUGGCUCUCGCAUCGAUGAAGAACGCAGCGAAAUGCGAUAAGUAAUGUGAAUUGCAGAAUUCAGUGAAUCAUCGAAUCUUUGAACGCACCUUGCGCCCUUUGGCUAUUCCGAAGGGCAUGCCUGUUUGAGUAUCAUGAACACCUCAACUCUCAUGGCUUGCCGUGAUGAGCUUGGACUUUGGGGGUCUUGUUGGCCUGUGAGCCAGCUCCUCUUAAAUGAAUUAGCUUGCCGGUGUUUGGUGGCAUCACAGGUGUGAUAACUAUCUACGCUUGUGGUUUCCCAUCAGAUAACCUUCAGUGAUGGAGGUUCACUGGGGCUUAUAAAUUUCUCUCCUCGGUGAGGACAGAUUUUGACUGUUUGAUCUCAAAUCAGGUAGGACUACCCGCUGAACUUAAGCAUAUCAAUA
RNAcentral lists this ribosomal RNA (563 nucleotides) under Tomentella stuposa. Its description in RNAcentral is "eukaryotic LSU rRNA". The stretch from base 137 to 291 matches the Rfam family "5.8S ribosomal RNA". Lineage: Eukaryota; Fungi; Basidiomycota; Agaricomycetes; Thelephorales; Thelephoraceae. The record is from RNAcentral.